GGGCCCGCACAAGCGGUGGAGCAUGUGGUUUAAUUCGAUGAUACGCGAGGAACCUUACCAGGGCUUAAAUGUAGUAUGACCGGUCUGGAAACAGGCCUUCCCUUCGGGGCAGAUUACAAGGUGCUGCAUGGUUGUCGUCAGCUCGUGCCGUGAGGUGUUAGGUUAAGUCCUGCAACGAGCGCAACCCCUAUUCUUAGUUGCCAGCGGUUCGGCCGGGGACUCUAAGAAGACUGCCAGCGCAAGCUGAGAGGAAGGUGGGGAUGACGUCAAAUCAUCACGGCCCUUACGUCCUGGGCUACACACGUGCUACAAUGGUAGAGACAGAGGGCAGCCACCUGGCGACAGGGAG
This 349-nucleotide ribosomal RNA is filed under the name uncultured bacterium. Its description in RNAcentral is "bacterial SSU rRNA". It matches the Rfam family "Bacterial small subunit ribosomal RNA", at positions 917 to 1267 of the family's 1533-position model. The record is from RNAcentral.